CUCGUAGGCGGUUUGUCGCGUCGGGAGUGAAAACUCAGGGCUUAACUCUGAGCCUGCUUCCGAUACGGGCAGACUAGAGGUAUGCAGGGGAGGAAUGGAAUUCCUGGUGUAGCGGUGAAAUGCGCAGAUAUCAGGAGGAACACCGGUGGCGAAGGCGGUUCUCUGGGCAUUACCUGACGCUGAGGAGCGAAAGUGUGGGGAGCGAACA
Molecule: ribosomal RNA, 208 nt
Filed under: uncultured bacterium
Lineage: Bacteria
Description: partial 16S ribosomal RNA
Rfam family: Bacterial small subunit ribosomal RNA
Source: RNAcentral